RNAcentral lists this transfer RNA (16 nucleotides) under Gastrotheca stictopleura. Its description in RNAcentral is "partial tRNA-Val". Lineage: Eukaryota; Metazoa; Chordata; Amphibia; Anura; Hemiphractidae. The record is from RNAcentral.
CAUAAUCUAGCUUAAC